UCUGUUUUUGUAACAUUUUGUAUUUUAUUUGCAGAAGUUUCUUCAUUGGAAAAAAGGCAGUGACAUUAAAUGUUGUGUUUUUUUUUUGUUUUUUUAAGGGAAGAUAAGUUACAACCUACUAACCAAUCAAUACUCGAUUGAUAAUGACGUCACCAUUCUUGAGAUCUGGUGGAGCUCGGUGCGCGGAUAGUGAGAGUUUUCAUUUCAGGCAAAGUGUGCAACCCUCCUCCUCCCCUUCCUCCCCCAGUCAUCGUCACCCACGGCACCCUGGGUCCUCCUCCAGCAGACCGCUCCCGUUGGCUCCUUUGGUCCGGUCUUCGGGCUCCUUCACCACCACCAUCAGUGUCUAGACUCCAUCGGGGGGAUAUGCCUUGGCUUCUCUACUCCUUUAAAAAUAAUUUUUAUAACAAUGGAGUCCAAUCUCCAAAGACUGUACAUUUCAUAUUAUGCAUAUGUACAAAUAAACCUUUGCAUAUUU
This is a long non-coding RNA of Perca fluviatilis (European perch), 478 nucleotides long. RefSeq lists it as uncharacterized. NCBI's taxonomy places the organism in Eukaryota, Metazoa, Chordata, Actinopteri, Perciformes, Percidae. The record is from RefSeq and is a predicted model, not a curated record. The transcript is spliced from 2 exons.